UGGGGAAUAUUGGACAAUGGGCGAAAGCCUGAUCCAGCCAUGCCGCGUGUGUGAAGAAGGUCUUCGGAUUGUAAAGCACUUUAAGUUGGGAGGAAGGGCAUUAACCUAAUACGUUAGUGUUUUGACGUUACCGACAGAAUAAGCACCGGCUAACUCUGUGCCAGCAGCGGCGGUAAUACAGAGGGUGCAAGCGUUAAUCGGAAGUACUGGGCGUAAAGCGCGCGUAGGUGGUUUGUUAAGUUGGAUGUGAAAUCCCCGGGCUCAACCUGGGAACUGCAUUCAAAACUGACUGACUAGAGUAUGGUAGAGGGUGGUGGAAUUUCCUGUGUAGCGGUGAAAUGCGUAGAUAUAGGAAGGAACACCAGUGGCGAAGGCGACCACCUGGACUAAUACUGACACUGAGGUGCGAAAGCGUGGGGAGCAAACA
This 427-nucleotide ribosomal RNA is filed under the name uncultured bacterium. RNAcentral describes it as "partial 16S ribosomal RNA". It matches the Rfam family "Bacterial small subunit ribosomal RNA", at positions 355 to 774 of the family's 1533-position model. The record is from RNAcentral.